GAAAUACAUCAGCAACUGUAUCAGCAUGCUUUCAUUUGUACACAUUCUGAUCUGAACAUACGUGCUUUUCGAAGCACUUGGCAUGCAUCCUGAAGUCUCAAGUUGCUUGAGAUUACGUAAGCAGGCAAACUAUCAGAGGAAUAAUGAACUAACUAUUACAAGUGUUUUCAUGAUUGGCCUUGGGAAUGAUCCCAUUUAAGUUAUUGACUGUAUUUCAGAGUUCCUAUUGGUGUCUCAAACGGACCAGGAAGAAAAUUCUUUGCUUCCUCCCUUCCUAGAAAGAGCUCAUUCUCUCCCUCCACUACCCACAUAGACUGCACAUCCCUGUAAACUGGCAUUUGGUCACAAGUUUGUUAGAACAUGCAAGGAAGCUUUGGGUGGCUUGUGGAGCCUGGUGACACGAGGCACAGAGGUUAUGUAAAAUCUUCCAAAUGAAGCCUGGACUGUAAGGUUGUGUCUAGCUGCACUGGAUUUCUGCAGUCAGGAGGUGUUGCAGGUUUCAUAUGCCUUCAAGGGUCUUAGUACUGCAAUGCUGCAGUUUGGCUGGUGCUGGUAGUGCCCUGCUGUGUUGAACUUUUCUCCAGAACACUCGUAUCAACGUAUCAACAAUAUGCAUUUGCUUCUCCAGACAGAUUCAAACCAGCUACAGUAAUAGAGAACUUGUACUUCUGGAAGGAAAAAAAACCCAAGGCUUCAAAAGUGUUUGUUAAUUUAAUAGAACCUUUUCCCUUUAGCUUUAAAGGGAAAUUGCACGAUGUCAUUAGCUCUUUUUCUUUUUUUUUUCUUUUGGUAGUGAAAACCAAAACUAAAGUGAUUGGGGUUUCACACAUGCUGGAAAAACCACUAAAGGUGCAAACUUUUCAUGGUAUAUUUCUUUUACCUGAAGACAGUUAGACUUUCACAACUCAGAACUGGCCAUUUUCAGUGUGAAUCAUUUGUAAAUUAGUGGUUUUACAAUAUAUCCGAGAAAUAUAUAAACUGAAGUUUGACUUCUCGCAAACUCAAAAGGAGAUCAUUCAGCUAUGAGAAACAAAUCUGCUACAGGGACUCACUCAUCCACAUGCAGAUCGAAACCAGUGGAUUUUGUGUAUCAGUGGUAUAAACUCAUCAGGAUCUGCCAGGUAAUACUUAGCAGAAAUUUUUGAAAUCACUUAUUCAAAUUGUAAAAAGACAUCACACUAACAGAAAUGGAGGUUUUUAGAUGGACUGAAGCUCUAUUCUCAAGGCAUCAGCAGUAAUGUGGAAUGAAUUGUUCAUAUCUACAUGAUUAUGUUAAAGAAGACACAAUUCAUUUCUGGUCCCUUGCCACUAUCACCCUGCCUCAUAAAUUCUAUAUCCAUGUCUUGUAAAUGUCUUGCUUAAUGAAGCCCACUGGAAACUUGCAGUUCUUACGGG
Molecule: long non-coding RNA, 1395 nt
Organism: Zonotrichia leucophrys gambelii
Lineage: Eukaryota; Metazoa; Chordata; Aves; Passeriformes; Passerellidae
Exons: 4
Source: RefSeq, a predicted model, not a curated record